CGGCAGCAGUAGAGUGUUCAGCAGCGCAGCACCCGGGGCAUGCCCUGUCCUCUCGGCGUCGACCCCCCAACCAAAGAAAACCCAGGGGUCGCUCUCGUGUGUCCGCUGCAGCAGCGAAAUAAACACUCUGACGCGGCCACGCACGGUUUCGGGAAUUCCCCUGGUCCGCCCCUUGGCCCUCUGCCGUGUUUCCUUCGUACCUUGAGACGUUGGACUCUGCUGUAGUUGUGCGAGUUGGCUUGGCCAGUCAUUUGCAUACCAACGGUAUUUACACGGCAGAAGAUUCUUGAGCAAAACCUGUCCUCUGCGGAGUAUCUUUUUUCAAGGACUACCACCGCAUCAUCAGCGUGGGACAAGUUUUUGGAAAUUUCCGCACAAGCAUGCUCAGAUGAUCGAUGGAGGACAACCUUUCUUGAGGUCACCGAAACACAAAAAAGUUGCUAUAAAGUUCUCUUUAAAGAAAGGGAUGUCACCAACCCAUUAGCGUAAAUUUCCUAUUCGAUACUAAUUAGUGGGCUCUUUGCUUCGUCUCUUUCCUUCGCUUUCUUUGAAACUGUAACGAAGCCUUGGGGCUAUUUUCUAUCUCUAGACUAAAUAGAUAGCAGUGAUGAUGACCUGGACGCGUUA
This is a long non-coding RNA of Culex quinquefasciatus (southern house mosquito), 627 nucleotides long. RefSeq lists it as uncharacterized. The transcript has 2 exons. NCBI's taxonomy places the organism in Eukaryota, Metazoa, Arthropoda, Insecta, Diptera, Culicidae. The record is from RefSeq and is a predicted model, not a curated record.